RNAcentral lists this ribosomal RNA (468 nucleotides) under uncultured bacterium. RNAcentral's name for it is "partial 16S ribosomal RNA". It matches the Rfam family "Bacterial small subunit ribosomal RNA", at positions 28 to 507 of the family's 1533-position model. The record is from RNAcentral.
GACGAACGCUGGCGGCGUGCUUAACACAUGCAAGUCGAACGGAAAGGCCCUGCUUUUGUGGGGUGCUCGAGUGGCGAACGGGUGAGUAACACGUGAGUAACCUGCCCUUGACUUUGGGAUAACUUCAGGAAACUGGGGCUAAUACCGGAUAGGAGCUCCUGCUGCAUGGUGGGGGUUGGAAAGUUUCGGCGGUUGGGGAUGGACUCGCGGCUUAUCAGCUUGUUGGUGGGGUAGUGGCUUACCAAGGCUUUGACGGGUAGCCGGCCUGAGAGGGUGACCGGCCACAUUGGGACUGAGCUACGGCCCAGACUCCUACGGGAGGCAGCAGUGGGGAAUAUUGCCCAAUGGGCGGAAGCCUGAUGCAGCAACGCCGCGUGCGGGAUGACGGCCUUCGGGUUGUAAACCGCUUUCGCCUGUGACGAAGCGUGAGUGACGGUAAUGGGUAAAGAAGCACCGGCUAACUACGUG